CGCUGAACUUAAGCAUAUUAAUAAGCGGAGGAAAAGAAACUAACAAGGAUUCCCCUAGUAACGGCGAGUGAAGCGGGAUGAGCUCAAGCUUAAAAUCUCUGUGCAAGUUUUGCAUGGCGAAUUGUAGUCUAUAGAGGCGAUGUCAGUGCAGCUAUUUGGGGUAAGUUCCUUGGAAAAGGACAGCAUCGAGGGUGAUACUCCCGUUUGUACCCGAGUAGCUUGUGCGUACGACACGUUUUCUUUGAGUCGCGUUGUUUGGGAAUGCAGCGCAAAGUAGGUGGUAAAUUCCAUCUAAAGCUAAAUAUUGGUGCGAGACCGAUAGCGAACAAGUACCGUGAGGGAAAGAUGAAAAGAACUUUGAAAAGAGAGUUAAAGAGUACCUGAAACUGCUGAAAGGGAAUCGAAUCGUUUCCAGUGUCUAUAAUCCAUGGCAUAUUUCAUUGGCGACUUGUUGCGUACAGUGCGUAGGAAGUAGUUUAUUCUGCUCCUUGUAUUGUUUUGCGAUGUGUUGCUGGUGCCCUGUGUCGUGGUGGGACGUCAGAGUCAGUUCGUAUGCUGCGGGAAAUGGCUGUUGAGGAGGUAGGUUGAGCGCUUGCGUUUAGCUGUUAUAUCUUGGCGUGCUAGUUGUCGUGGUUGGGACUGAGGUGCCUACAACGUGCUUUAAAGUCUUGUGGGGUCUCAUGUGAUAACGUGCUAGGAUAGCUUGCUAUGUUGGUGUGUUUAUUGUGUGAUUGAUGCUGCUUGUAACUUUUGCCGUUCGGGACUUUGACGAAAUGGAGCGAUUCGGCCCGUCUUGAAACACGGACCAAGGAGUCUAACAUGUGUGCAAGUGUUAGGGUGUGGAAACCCCAGCGCGAAAUGAAAGUAAAGGGUAGCGUUUCGCUGCCUGAGGUAGGAAACCUUUGUUCUCAGAGGUGGCACUAUCGACCGAUCAUGAACCUUCGUGGUGAAAGAUUUGAGUAUGAGCACAUAUGUUGGUACCCGAAAGAUGGUGAACUAUGCCUGAGUAGGGUGAAGCCAGGGGAAACUCUGGUGGAAGCUCGUAGCGAUUCUGACGUGCAAAUCGAUCGUCAAACUUGGGUAUAGGGGCGAAAGACUAAUCGAACCAUCUAGUAGCUGGUUCCCUCCGAAAUUUCCCUCAGGAUAGCAGCAACUUAUUUACGAUAGUUUUAUGAGGUAAAGCGAAUGAUUAGAGGACUCGGGGAAGAAACUUCCUUGACCUAUUCUCAAACUUUAAAUCUGUAAGACCUGCAGGUUUCUUAAUUGAACUUGUGGAUGUGAAUAUCAAGUUGCUAGUGGGCCAUACGGGGUAAGCUCGUCUGGCG
This 1325-nucleotide ribosomal RNA is filed under the name Elongisporangium prolatum. Its description in RNAcentral is "eukaryotic LSU rRNA". It matches the Rfam family "Eukaryotic large subunit ribosomal RNA", at positions 26 to 1155 of the family's 3401-position model. The record is from RNAcentral. Lineage: Eukaryota; Oomycota; Peronosporomycetes; Pythiales; Pythiaceae.